Molecule: ribosomal RNA, 197 nt
Filed under: uncultured bacterium
Lineage: Bacteria
Description: partial 16S ribosomal RNA
Rfam family: Bacterial small subunit ribosomal RNA
Source: RNAcentral
GGCUGAAAUUCGCCUUCAUGAAGCUGGAAUUGCUAGUAAUGGCAGGUCAGCAUACUGCCGUGAAUACGUUCCCGGGCCUUGUACACACCGCCCGUCACACCAUGAGAGUUGGAAAUACCCGAAGCCUGUGAGCUAACUUAAAGAGGCAGCAGUCGAAGGUAGAGCCAAUGAUUGGGGUGAAGUCGUAACAAGGUACC